This 489-nucleotide ribosomal RNA is filed under the name uncultured bacterium. RNAcentral's name for it is "partial 16S ribosomal RNA". It matches the Rfam family "Bacterial small subunit ribosomal RNA", at positions 28 to 507 of the family's 1533-position model. The record is from RNAcentral.
GACGAACGCUGGCGGCGUGCUUAACACAUGCAAGUCGAACGGUGAAGGGACCAGCUUGCUGGUUCUGGAUGAGUGGCGAACGGGUGAGUAACACGUGAGUAACCUGCCCCCUUCUUCUGGAUAACCGCAUGAAAGUGUGGCUAAUACGGGAUAUUCUGGGUCUGUCGCAUGGCGGGCCCGGGAAAGAUAUUGCUUCGGUGGGGGAUGGGCUCGCGGCCUAUCAGCUUGUUGGUGGGGUGAUGGCCUACCAAGGCGGUGACGGGUAGCCGGCCUGAGAGGGUGGACGGUCACACUGGGACUGGGACACGGCCCAGACUCCUACGGGAGGCAGCAGUGGGGAAUAGUGCACAAUGGGCGCAAGCCUGAUGCAGCGACGCCGCGUGAGGGAUGGAGGCCUUCGGGGUGUAAACCUCUUUCGCCAGUGAAGCAGGCCUGCUCCGUGUGGGUGGGUUGACGGUAGCUGGAGAAGAAGCGCCGGCUAACUACGUG